AUUGAACGCUGGCGGCAUGCUUUACACAUGCAAGUCGAACGGCAGCGCGGGCUUCGGCCUGGCGGCGAGUGGCGAACGGGUGAGUAAUGCAUCGGAACGUGCCCAGUAGUGGGGGAUAGCCCGGCGAAAGCCGGAUUAAUACCGCAUACGACCUGAGGGUGAAAGCGGGGGACCGAAAGGCCUCGCGCUAUUGGAGCGGCCGAUGUCGGAUUAGCUAGUUGGUGGGGUAAAGGCUUACCGAGGCGACGAUCCGUAGCUGGUCUGAGAGGACGACCAGCCACACUGGGACUGAGACACGGCCCAGACUCCUACGGGAGGCAGCAGUGGGGAAUUUUGGACAAUGGGGGCAACCCUGAUCCAGCCAUGCCGCGUGCGGGAAGAAGGCCUUCGGGUUGUAAACCGCUUUUGUUCGGGAAGAAAUCCUCUGGGCUAAUACCCCGGGGGGAUGACGGUACCGGAAGAAUAAGCACCGGCUAACUACGUG
This 484-nucleotide ribosomal RNA is filed under the name uncultured bacterium. RNAcentral describes it as "partial 16S ribosomal RNA". It matches the Rfam family "Bacterial small subunit ribosomal RNA", at positions 28 to 507 of the family's 1533-position model. The record is from RNAcentral.